GGGGAAUUGUUCGCAAUGGGCGCAAGCCUGACGACGCAACGCCGCGUGGAGGAUGAAGAUUUUCGGAUCGUAAACUCCUUUCGAUCGGGACGAAUCGGUCGCGACCUAACACGUCGUGGCACUGACGGUACCGAGAGAAGAAGCCCCGGCUAACUCCGUGCCCGCAGCCGCGGUAAUACGGGGGGGGCUAGCGUUGUUCGGAAUUACUGGGCGUAAAGCGCGCGCAGGCGGUCGUUCAAGUCGCGUGUGAAAGCCCCCGGCUCAACUGGGGAGGGUCACGCGAUACUGAUCGACUCGAAGGCAGGAGAGGGAAGUGGAAUUCCCGGUGUAGUGGUGAAAUGCGUAGAUAUCGGGAGGAACACCAGUGGCGAAGGCGACUUCCUGGCCUGUCCUUGACGCUGAGGCGCGAAAGCUAGGGGAGCAAAC
Molecule: ribosomal RNA, 426 nt
Filed under: uncultured bacterium
Lineage: Bacteria
Description: bacterial SSU rRNA
Rfam family: Bacterial small subunit ribosomal RNA
Source: RNAcentral